GAUUGGUCGAGCGGCGGUAUGGCGUCAUGAGCCCUGCACUAAGCUUUGAUUGAGCUUUGAGCUUGGGCGCCAUUUUUGCGAAGACAGCCAAACAUGAUAAAAACACGAAAAAUGUUGCAGAUGAACGUACUAAUGUACCUUCAAUGCUGCAAGACAAAGAACAAAAACAGAAGGCGGUUCUGAUUUAUAAAGAAGCACAGUUUUAUUUGGUCUGAUUGGUAAACACAAGCAGGGUUGAAGUGCACUUGUUUAAAGCCAGACAGUUGGCCUUUCCCACGAGUCAGCCACAAGAGCCGUCAAUUAGCAUGGCCGGGGGCAUCGGUUGUACUUUAUUCUUAGUCAUUCUUUAUUGAAAACUUACGCUGCAUUCACACUAAAAGCAUGUUCAAACAAGGUUUUUCUUUGCCUGAUAACUUGCCAAGUUUCUCAUGUGUUGAAAACUUACUAGCUAAAUGAUCACUUAGUAACAUGUACAGCACAGUCUAUUUAGUUUUGUUCCUGGUUUUUUGGGAGAUUUAAACCAGUUUAAUUAAAUCACCUUGAAACUGGUUUAGGCGCUAAUGUGAAUGAGGUGUUAUUUGGUGGGUACCUCAUACUGUAUAAAAGUGUACACGGCAAAACCUGCCUACUCAUCUUGGGUUUCGCCGAUGAUAAUCACCGUAAUAAUGUGCGUCGAACUCUCAUCUUCGAUAACCACGGGUAGUCCAACGAUAAGCGUUGCGAACCAGUGUCGGGUUACACAUACAGAUUUUUAACUGUGGUAGGUAAUUUCAAGUCUCUGGAUAUUCUAUAGCCCUCUCAUUUACUUUAAAACAAAAAUGUUUAAACAAUAUGAUAGCAUUAUUGUUGUUUCCUUUGUACUUACAUUUUAUCUAAAUUAUAUUGUUAACACAAUGUGGCUCACUUUGGGUGUUAAAAUAACUUUACCCCUAAGUGAUAGCACAUUGAGGGCAGUGAACAAAAGAAA
This is a long non-coding RNA of Nematostella vectensis (starlet sea anemone), 967 nucleotides long. RefSeq lists it as uncharacterized. The transcript has 2 exons. The record is from RefSeq and is a predicted model, not a curated record. NCBI's taxonomy places the organism in Eukaryota, Metazoa, Cnidaria, Anthozoa, Actiniaria, Edwardsiidae.